ACCUGGGUAGCUCAGUUGGUUGAGCGUCUGACUUUGGCUCAGGUCAUGAUCUCAUCGUUCGUGGGUUCGAACCCUGCGUCGGGCU
RNAcentral lists this transfer RNA (85 nucleotides) under Felis catus (domestic cat). It matches the Rfam family "tRNA". From Rfam's summary of the family: Transfer RNA (tRNA) molecules are approximately 80 nucleotides in length. Their secondary structure includes four short double-helical elements and three loops (D, anti-codon, and T loops). Lineage: Eukaryota; Metazoa; Chordata; Mammalia; Carnivora; Felidae. RNAcentral also lists the same sequence under 2 other names. The record is from Rfam by way of RNAcentral.